Molecule: ribosomal RNA, 269 nt
Filed under: uncultured bacterium
Lineage: Bacteria
Description: partial 16S ribosomal RNA
Rfam family: Bacterial small subunit ribosomal RNA
Source: RNAcentral
CCCGGCGACCGGCGCACGGGUGAGUAACACGUAUGCAACCUGGCCGCCACAGGGGGAUAACCCGCGGAAACGCGGCCUAAUACCCCGUGACGCCACCGGAGGGCAUCCUCCGGUGGCCAAAGGAGCGAUCCGGUGGCGGAUGGGCAUGCGGCGCAUUAGCUAGACGGCGGGGUGACGGCCCACCGUGGCGACGAUGCGUAGGGGUUCUGAGAGGAAGGCCCCCUACACUGGGACUGAGACACGGCCCAGACUCCUACGGAAGGCAGCAG